This 165-nucleotide microRNA precursor is filed under the name Phlebotomus papatasi. RNAcentral describes it as "microRNA mir-75". The record is from RNAcentral. Lineage: Eukaryota; Metazoa; Arthropoda; Insecta; Diptera; Psychodidae.
UUUCUUAUGCAUCAGUUUUGAAUUUGGUUAGGAGCUCACUAACACUUCUUCUUUCAGAGCGAACGUACUGUUAUUUGACUAACGGACUGGUACCAGUCCGUUCGCUGUGUAAAAGUAAGAAGAAAAUUGUUAGUGAGCUCCUAACCAAAUUCAAAACUGAUGCAU